This 1419-nucleotide ribosomal RNA is filed under the name Phasmahyla guttata (spotted leaf frog). RNAcentral describes it as "partial 16S ribosomal RNA". It matches the Rfam family "Bacterial large subunit ribosomal RNA", at positions 267 to 2597 of the family's 2925-position model. Lineage: Eukaryota; Metazoa; Chordata; Amphibia; Anura; Hylidae. The record is from RNAcentral.
GCCAAAAAUCUAACCCCAAAAUUUCUAAUAACCUUUAUUCUUCUCCUUACUUUUCACUAAAACAUUUUUAAGCUUUAGUAAAGGCGAUUAAAACACCCAUUGGAGUUAUAUUUUAAGUACCGCAAGGGAAUGAUGAAAUAAAAAUGAAAAAAUUAUUAAGCAUAAAAUAGCAGAGAUAUAUCCUCGUACCUUUUGCAUCAUGAUUUAACUAGUCUUAUCAAGCAAAAUGAAUUUAAGUUUGACCCCCCGAAACUAAGCGAGCUACUUCAGGGCAGCUUUAUGAGCCAACCCAUCUCUGUUGCAAAAGAGUGGGAAGACCCUUAAGUAGAGGUGAUAGACCUAACGAGCUUGGUGAUAGCUGGUUACUUAAGAAAAGGAUCUUAGUCCAACCUAAUUUUUAAAAAAUAAUUUCAAAUAUACACUAAAUUUUAGAGCAAUUCAAAUAAGGUACAGCCUAUUUGAAACAGGAUACAACCUUUAUAAAUGGGUAAUUAAAUUUAUUUUUUAAUUAAGUGGGCCUAAAAGCAGCCAUCUUUUAAAAAGCGUCAAAGCUUAAUUAGUUAAUAAUUAAAUCCUUUUAAUUCUUCAAAACCCUUAACCUUUAUUAAGUAAUUCUAUAUACAUAUAGAACCUUUUAUGUUAAAAUUAGUAACAAGAACAAAAACUUCUCAAAAUGUCAAUUUAAAUCAGAUCGGAUUAUCCACUGAUUCUUAACAUUUAGAAUUAAAAGUAAUAACUAAUCAAGAAAAUUUUACUUAAUUUCAUGUUAACCUAACACAAGAACAUUUCCAGAAAGAUUAAAAGAAAAAGAAGGAACUCGGCAAAUAUUAACCUCGCCUGUUUACCAAAAACAUCGCCUUCUGAAAACUUAUAGAAGGUCUGGCCUGCCCAGUGACUCUGUUCAACGGCCGCGGUAUCCUAACCGUGCGAAGGUAGCGUAAUCACUUGUUCUUUAAAUGAGGACUAGUAUGAAUGGCACCACGAAGGUUACACUGUCUCCUUUCUCUAAUCAGUGAAAUUGAUUUUCCCGUGAAGAAGCGGGAAUAAAUUUAUAAGACGAGAAGACCCUAUGGAGCUUUAAACUAUUAACAAUUAUUUUUAUUUAACAAACCUCCAGGCUACAAAAUUAACUUAAAUAUUCUGAUUAUUAGUUUUCGGUUGGGGUGACCACGGAGUAAAACUUAUCCUCCAUGAUGAAUUAGAGCCCGCCUCUAAGCAAAAAACUACAAUUUUAAGCAUCAAAAAAUUGACCCUAUUGACCCAAUAUUUGAUCAACGAACCAAGUUACCCUAGGGAUAACAGCGCAAUCCGUCUCAAGAGCUCAUAUCGACAGAUGGGUUUACGACCUCGAUGUUGGAUCAGGAUAUCCAAGUGGUGCAGCCGCUACUAAAGGUUCGUUUGUUCAACGAUUAAAAUCCU